This 1049-nucleotide long non-coding RNA is filed under the name Salmo salar (Atlantic salmon). RNAcentral's name for it is "lncRNA (ENSSSAG00000101237.1)". The record is from RNAcentral. Lineage: Eukaryota; Metazoa; Chordata; Actinopteri; Salmoniformes; Salmonidae.
UAGAUUAAAUCGAGCGCUCUCAAACUUCCCAUCAUUCUGACUACGGUAGUCAUUUUGUCACCCUCAUCAUGGCAAAGACACGGAGAAAUGCAUAUGAUGCAGCUUUCAAGUUGAAGGCGAUUGAUCUGGCUGUUGGAAAAGGAAAUAGAGCUGCUGCACGGGAGCUUGGUCUUAAUGAGUCGAUGAUAAGACGUUGGAAACAGCAGCGUUAGGAAUUGACUCAGUGCAAAAAGACAACUAAAGCUUACUGCUAAUUUUAAAUUUUUUGUUACAAGCCGUGUUUCGUUAAAGCCUAUUUAUUUUUAUUACAAGCCGUAUUUCGUUAAAGCCUAUUUAUUUUGUUACAAGCCGUGUUUCGUUAAAGCCUAUUUAUUUUUGUUACAAGCCGUGUUUCGUUAAAGCCUAUUUAUUUUUGUUACAAGCCGUGUUUCGUUAAAGCCUGUGUAAAGUUAAUUUGUUUCAAUGUACCGGUAGGCACCUGCGGCUUAUAGACAUGUGCGGCUUAUUUAUGUUCAAAAUCUUUUCUUUUUUUUUAAUUCAGUGGGUGCGGCUUAUAUUCAGGUGCGCUUAAUAGUCCGGAAAUUACGGUACACAUUUUAUUAUCGUUCUGCUUACUCCAGACCAGGCCCUAAUCCCCUGGACUCAAAAGAGGAAGUGGAAGUGAAAGAGAGGCAGGUGAGGCGGCAUCCUGACGAGAUUAGCCCUUACAGAAUUACCCACCAAACCAGGACCAAGCAGCGGAGGAGGAAGGAGCAACAGGAGAACAGCUUGAUGGACUCGUGGACAUGGGAACAGAUACUGGACGGAGAGGGACCAUGGACUCAGGCUGGGGAGUAUCGCCUCCCGCAGUGGGAGAUUGAAGCGGCGAGAGCGGAGAGGCGAUAUUACGAGGAGAGAGAGCGCAACGAGCACGAGAGGCAGCCCCAAUAAUUUUUUUGGUGGGGCACACGGAACAGUUGGCGGAGCCGAGGUCGGAACCAGAGCCAGUCGGGUUGACAUUGGAGGUGAGCGAGGGGUACGAGGCAGAGACUGUGAAGGAGUUAAUGGGG